GACGAACGCUGGCGGCGUGCUUAACACAUGCCAGUCGAACGGAAAGGCCCUGCUUUUGUGGGGUGCUCGAGUGGCGAACGGGUGAGUAACACGCGAGUAACCUGCCCUUGACUUUGGGAUAACUUCAGGAAACUGGGGCUAAUACCGGAUAGGAGCUCCUGCUGCAUGGUGGGGGUUGGAAAGUUUCGGCGGUUGGGGAUGGACUCGCGGCUUAUCAGCUUGUUGGUGGGGUAGUGGCUUACCAAGGCUUUGACGGGUAGCCGGCCUGAGAGGGUGACCGGCCACAUUGGGACUGAGAUACGGCCCAGACUCCUACGGGAGGCAGCAGUGGGGAAUAUUGCACAAUGGGCGGAAGCCUGAUGCAGCAACGCCGCGUGCGGGAUAACGGCCUUCGGGUUGUAAACCGCUUUCGCCUGUGACGAAGCGUGAGUGACGGUAAUGGGUAAAGAAGCACCGGCUAACUACGUG
This 468-nucleotide ribosomal RNA is filed under the name uncultured bacterium. RNAcentral's name for it is "partial 16S ribosomal RNA". It matches the Rfam family "Bacterial small subunit ribosomal RNA", at positions 28 to 507 of the family's 1533-position model. The record is from RNAcentral.